RNAcentral lists this ribosomal RNA (433 nucleotides) under uncultured bacterium. RNAcentral's name for it is "bacterial SSU rRNA". It matches the Rfam family "Bacterial small subunit ribosomal RNA", at positions 30 to 455 of the family's 1533-position model. The record is from RNAcentral.
AGCGAACGUUAGCGGCGGGCUUAACACAUGCAAGUCGAGCGAGAGAGUGACUUCGGUCAUGAGUAAAGCGGCAGACGGGUGAGGAACACGUAGGUAAUUUUCCGUUUAGUGGGGGACAACGGUCCGAAAGGACCGCUAAUACCGCAUACGUUCCUUGGGGCUUUGGCCCUGGGGAGGAAAGCUGGGCAACUGGCGCUAAAUGAGAAGCCUGCGUCGCAUCAGCUAGUUGGUGGGGUAAUGGCCUACCAAGGCGAAGACGCGUAGCUGGUCUGAGAGGAUGAUCAGCCACACUGGAACUGAGACACGGUCCAGACUCCUACGGGAGGCAGCAGUGGGGAAUAUUGGACAAUGGGCGCAAGCCUGAUCCAGCCACGCCGCGUGAGUGAUGAAGGCCUCGGUCGGUAAAGGACUCUGUGGGGAGGAGGACGAACCG